UCAGGCCUAACACAUGCAAGUCGAACGGCAGCACGGGUGCUUGCACCUGGUGGCGAGUGGCGAACGGGUGAGUAAUAUAUCGGAACGUGCCCUAGAGUGGGGGAUAACGUAGCGAAAGUUACGCUAAUACCGCAUACGAUCUACGGAUGAAAGUGGGGGACCGCAAGGCCUCACGCUCCUGGAGCGGCCGAUAUCUGAUUAGCUAGUUGGUGGGGUAAAAGCCUACCAAGGCGACGAUCAGUAGCUGGUCUGAGAGGACGACCAGCCACACUGGGACUGAGACACGGCCCAGACUCCUACGGGAGGCAGCAGUGGGGAAUUUUGGACAAUGGGGGCAACCCUGAUCCAGCAAGGCCGCGUGUGUGAAGAAGGCCUUCGGGUUUAAAGCAAAUGGUCAGGAACGAAACGGUGGGGGCUA
RNAcentral lists this ribosomal RNA (418 nucleotides) under uncultured bacterium. RNAcentral's name for it is "bacterial SSU rRNA". It matches the Rfam family "Bacterial small subunit ribosomal RNA", at positions 43 to 462 of the family's 1533-position model. The record is from RNAcentral.